This 253-nucleotide ribosomal RNA is filed under the name uncultured bacterium. RNAcentral's name for it is "partial 16S ribosomal RNA". It matches the Rfam family "Bacterial small subunit ribosomal RNA", at positions 524 to 776 of the family's 1533-position model. The record is from RNAcentral.
UACAGAGGGUGCAAGCAUUACUCGGAUUUAUUGGGCGUAAAGAGCGCGUAGGCGGGUCUUUAAGUCAGAUGUGAAAUCCCCAGGCUCAACCUGGGAACAGCAUUUGAAACUGAAGAUCUUGAGGGUAGUCGGAGAAAAUGGAAUUCCACGUGUAGCGGUGAAAUGCGUAGAUAUGUGGAAGAACACCGGUGGCGAAGGCGAUUUUCUAGAUUAUACCUGACGCUGAGGCGCGAAAGCAAGGGGAUCAAACAGG